AACAAGGCGUACCUGCGGACCUGCGGAAGGAUCAUUACUGAGUUUAAUGGGGAGGGUUUGUAACAGAGUCCUCCCUUUUUUUUCUCUUCACCCUUUGUUAUUAUUUGUACAAGUUGCUUUGGCGGUUGGGUUACCCUUCUGCCAGACGGCUUUUUCAAACACUGUUAUCUAACAAUCAAGAUAUGUUUUGUCUAAUUUUUACGACUUGAAUAAGUAUGUAAAACUUUUAACAAUGGAUCU
This 240-nucleotide unclassified non-coding RNA is filed under the name soil metagenome. Its description in RNAcentral is "partial contains 5.8S ribosomal RNA, internal transcribed spacer 2, and large subunit ribosomal RNA". The record is from RNAcentral.